This is a non-coding RNA of Planktomarina temperata RCA23, 60 nucleotides long. The record is from Rfam. NCBI's taxonomy places the organism in Bacteria, Pseudomonadati, Pseudomonadota, Alphaproteobacteria, Rhodobacterales, Paracoccaceae.
GUUUUUAUGGGCAACUGAUUUGUAAUCAGUAGGUCCGCGGUUCGAGUCCGUGUGGGGGCA